RNAcentral lists this ribosomal RNA (686 nucleotides) under uncultured Mycobacterium sp. RNAcentral's name for it is "bacterial SSU rRNA". It matches the Rfam family "Bacterial small subunit ribosomal RNA", at positions 133 to 833 of the family's 1533-position model. Lineage: Bacteria; Bacillati; Actinomycetota; Actinomycetes; Mycobacteriales; Mycobacteriaceae. The record is from RNAcentral.
GCACUUCGGGAUAAGCCUGGGAAACUGGGUCUAAUACCGAAUAGGACCAUUUAGCGCAUGCUUUAUGGUGGAAAGCUUUUGCGGUGUGGGAUGGGCCCGCGGCCUAUCCGCUUGUUGGUGGGGUGACGGCCUACCAAGGCGACGACGGGUAGCCGGCCUGAGAGGGUGUCCGGCCACACUGGGACAGAGAUACGGCCCAGACUCCUACGGGAGGCAGCAGUGGGGAAUAUUGCACGAUGGGCGCAAGCCUGAUGCAGCGACGCCGCGUGGGGGAUGACGGCCUUCGGGUUGUAAACCUCUUUCAGCAGGGACGAAGCGCAAGUGACGGUACCUGCAGAAGAAGCACCGGCCAACUACGUGCCAGCAGCCGCGGUAAUACGUAGGGUGCGAGCGUUGUCCGGAAUUACUGGGCGUAAAGAGCUCGUAGGUGGUUUGUCGCGUUGUUCGUGAAAUCUCACGGCUUAACUGUGAGCGUGCGGGCGAUACGGGCAGACUGGAGUACUGCAGGGGAGACUGGAAUUCCUGGUGUAGCGGUGGAAUGCGCAGAUAUCAGGAGGAACACCGGUGGCGAAGGCGGGUCUCUGGGCAGUAACUGAUGCUGAGGAGCGAAAGCGUGGGGAGCGAACAGGAUUAGAUACCCUGGUAGUCCACGCCGUAAACGGUGGGUACUAGGUGUGGGUUUCCUU